RNAcentral lists this ribosomal RNA (399 nucleotides) under Bacteroides reticulotermitis. Its description in RNAcentral is "bacterial SSU rRNA". It matches the Rfam family "Bacterial small subunit ribosomal RNA", at positions 1126 to 1533 of the family's 1533-position model. Lineage: Bacteria; Pseudomonadati; Bacteroidota; Bacteroidia; Bacteroidales; Bacteroidaceae. The record is from RNAcentral.
UUAUGCUGAGGACUCUAAAGAGACUGCCGUCGUAAGAUGUGAGGAAGGUGGGGAUGACGUCAAAUCAGCACGGCCCUUACGUCCGGGGCUACACACGUGUUACAAUGGGGGGUACAACAGGCAGCUACCUAGCGAUAGGAUGCUAAUCCCAAAAACCUCUCUCAGUUCGGAUCGAAGUCUGCAACCCGACUUCGUGAAGCUGGAUUCGCUAGUAAUCGCGCAUCAGCCACGGCGCGGUGAAUACGUUCCCGGGCCUUGUACACACCGCCCGUCAAGCCAUGAAAGCCGGGGGUACCUGAAGUACGUAACCGUAAGGAGCGUCCUAGGGUAAAACUGGUAAUUGGGGCUAAGUCGUAACAAGGUAGCCGUACCGGAAGGUGCGGCUGGAACACCUCCUUU